GAGGAAUCAAUUAGUGCAUCUGACCAUGAAGAUGUACAUGAUGAAGAGAAGCAAGAUGAGGAAGAUGAGGAAGAAGUACCACUCAUCCAUUCAAUUAGGCCAUCCUCUAAAUUGAGAUCACUUAGAAUUUCAAGAGAUGAAAAAAAAGGGAGUUCUACAGGAAAAGCUGCAGGGCCACCGCCUACAUGACUUGAACCGACCGUCUGAAUUCUGCAUCGCAUGACUUAUCAUGGUGUACAAAUAUCCCCAAAU
Molecule: unclassified non-coding RNA, 252 nt
Filed under: Hevea brasiliensis (rubber tree)
Lineage: Eukaryota; Viridiplantae; Streptophyta; Magnoliopsida; Malpighiales; Euphorbiaceae
Source: RNAcentral